UUAGAUCCUCUCCAUCGUCAAUAGGAACAAUAGGGAUAUAAUCUUGCUUGAACCACUCAUGUUCUCUGAUUCCAGCAACAUUGAUCCGACUCUUUGGAUGCGGAUCAAGAAUCCUCCGUAUCAGGUCCUGGGCACCAGGUGAAAGCCAUUUAGGUAUCUUGGUUGCUCCAUUUAAGAUCUUCUGAUAAAGAACAACAAUAUUUCUGUCGUCAAAUGGAAGGGAUCCUGUCAGGAUAACAUAUAGGAUGACACCACAUGACCAAAUAUCUGACAUGGAACCGUCG
This 284-nucleotide unclassified non-coding RNA is filed under the name Hevea brasiliensis (rubber tree). The record is from RNAcentral. Lineage: Eukaryota; Viridiplantae; Streptophyta; Magnoliopsida; Malpighiales; Euphorbiaceae.